UACGGAGGGGGCAAGCGUUAUUCGGAAUUACUGGGCGUAAAGGGCGCGUAGGCGGUACUUCAAGUCAGGCGUGAAAGCCCCGGGCUCAACCUGGGAACCGCGCUUGAGACUGGAGAACUAGAGUUCGGGAGAGGAUGGUGGAAUUCCCAGUGUAGAGGUGAAAUUCGUAGAUAUUGGGAAGAACACCGAUGGCGAAGGCAGCCAUCUGGACCGACACUGACGCUGAGGCGCGAAAGCGUGGGGAGCAAACAGG
RNAcentral lists this ribosomal RNA (253 nucleotides) under uncultured bacterium. RNAcentral's name for it is "partial 16S ribosomal RNA". It matches the Rfam family "Bacterial small subunit ribosomal RNA", at positions 524 to 776 of the family's 1533-position model. The record is from RNAcentral.